GUAAUAUCAAUAAUAAUUGUUGUAAUAAUAGUAGGUAAAAAUUGUACAAGGCUAGAUAUAGAGUCAUAAUGGCAACGAUAGAGACAAUAAUGACGGUAGUGGUGGAGUACGAGGGAUGGUGAUGGCAAUAAAGGUUAAAUGUCUUCAGAUUUUUUUUUUUUUGUAUUAAAAAGUAAAUUCUUUUUGCUUCCCAUAAAACAAUCUUCUUGCUUUAAAAUAUCAAAUUUUAAUGUGUAAAUAAAUGGUAAUUUUUAAUUUAAAAAUAAAAAAGUUGUUUUUAGUAUCGAACCAAAACGCUGCUUAAAAUUUUCCCAAAGAAAAUAUCUCCAUGGAAGAUAGGAAAACACAUAGGAUCACAGUAAUAUUCCAUUGUCGCGUAAGCUCGAUGUGCUCUUGCCAAG
Molecule: unclassified non-coding RNA, 401 nt
Filed under: Hevea brasiliensis (rubber tree)
Lineage: Eukaryota; Viridiplantae; Streptophyta; Magnoliopsida; Malpighiales; Euphorbiaceae
Source: RNAcentral